RNAcentral lists this ribosomal RNA (422 nucleotides) under uncultured bacterium. Its description in RNAcentral is "bacterial SSU rRNA". It matches the Rfam family "Bacterial small subunit ribosomal RNA", at positions 917 to 1344 of the family's 1533-position model. The record is from RNAcentral.
GGGCCCGCACAAGCGGUGGAGCAUGUGGUUUAAUUCGAUGCAACGCGAAGAACCUUACCAGGGCUUGACAUACCACAAAUUUUUUUGAAAGAAAAAAGUGCCUUCGGGAAUGUGGAUACAGGUGGUGCAUGGCUGUCGUCAGCUCGUGUCGUGAGAUGUUGGGUUAAGUCCCGCAACGAGCGCAACCCUUAUUUUUAGUUACUAAUUUAUUAGGUUCUCUAGAAAACUGCCGGUGACAAACUGGAGGAAGGUGAGGAUGACGUCAAGUCAGCAUGCCCCUUAUGCCCUGGGCUACACACGUGCUACAAUGGCUAGGACAAAGAGUCGCGAGCUCGCGAGGGUAAGCUAAUCUCCUAAACCUAGUCUAAGUUCAGAUUGCAGGCUGCAACUCGCCUGCAUGAAGUCGGAAUCGCUAGUAAUCG